Molecule: ribosomal RNA, 460 nt
Filed under: uncultured bacterium
Lineage: Bacteria
Description: partial 16S ribosomal RNA
Rfam family: Bacterial small subunit ribosomal RNA
Source: RNAcentral
CCUACGGGUGGCAGCAGUGAGGAAUAUUGGUCAAUGGACGAGAGUCUGAACCAGCCAAGUAGCGUGAAGGAUGACUGCCCUAUGGGUUGUAAACUGCUUUUAUAAAGGAAUAAAACGAGGCACGUGUGCCUUUUUGCAUGUACUUUAUGAAUAAGGAUCGGCUAACUCCGUGCCAGCAGCCGCGGUAAUACGGAGGAUCCGAGCGUUAUCCGGAUUUAUUGGGUUUAAAGGGAGCGUAGAUGGGUUGAUAAGUCAGUUGUGAAAGUUUGCGGCUCAACCGUAAAAUUGCAAUUGAUACUGGAAGUCUUGAGUACAGUUGAGGUAGGCGGAAUUCGUGGUGUAGCGGUGAAAUGCUUAGAUAUCACGAAGAACCCCGAUUGCGAAGGCAGCUUACUAAACUGUGACUGACAUUGAUGCUCGAAAGUGUGGGUAUCAAACAGGAUUAGAUACCCUUGUAGUC